GAUGAACGCUGGCGGCAGGCUUAACACAUGCAAGUCGAGCGGGCAUAGCAAUAUGUCAGCGGCAGACGGGUGAGUAACACGUGGGAACGUACCUUUUGGUUCGGAACAACUGAGGGAAACUUCAGCUAAUACCGAAUAAGCCCUUACGGGGAAAGAUUUAUUGCCAAAAGAUCGGCCCGCGUCUGAUUAGCUAGUUGGUAGGGUAAUGGCCUACCAAGGCGACGAUCAGUAGCUGGUCUGAGAGGAUGAUCAGCCACACUGGGACUGAGACACGGCCCAGACUCCUACGGGAGGCAGCAGUGGGGAAUAUUGGACAAUGGGCGCAAGCCUGAUCCAGCCAUGCCGCGUGAGUGAUGAAGGCCUUAGGGUUGUAAAGCUCUUUCACCCACGACGAUGAUGACGGUAGUGGGGGAAGAAGCCCCGGCUAACUUCGUGCCAGCCGCCGCGGUAA
RNAcentral lists this ribosomal RNA (451 nucleotides) under uncultured bacterium. RNAcentral describes it as "partial 16S ribosomal RNA". It matches the Rfam family "Bacterial small subunit ribosomal RNA", at positions 28 to 523 of the family's 1533-position model. The record is from RNAcentral.